UUUCUUUGCUGGCGACCGGCGCACGGGUGAGUAACACGUAUCCAACCUGCCCUUUACUCGGGGAUAGCCUUUCGAAAGAAAGAUUAAUACCCGAUAGCAUAAUGAUUCCGCAUGGUUUCAUUAUUAAAGGAUUCCGGUAAAGGAUGGGGAUGCGUUCCAUUAGGUUGUUGGUGAGGUAACGGCUCACCAAGCCUUCGAUGGAUAGGGGUUCUGAGAGGAAGGUCCCCCACAUUGGAACUGAGACACGGCCCAA
This 253-nucleotide ribosomal RNA is filed under the name uncultured bacterium. RNAcentral's name for it is "partial 16S ribosomal RNA". It matches the Rfam family "Bacterial small subunit ribosomal RNA", at positions 80 to 334 of the family's 1533-position model. The record is from RNAcentral.